CGCGUAGGCGGGGAUACAAGUCAGGUGUGAAAUCUAUGGGCUUAACCCAUAAACUGCACUUGAAACUGUAUCUCUUGAGUGUCGGAGAGGUAGACGGAAUUCCUAGUGUAGCGGUGAAAUACGUAGAUAUUAGGAGGAACACCAGUGGCGAAGGCGGUCUACUGGACGAUAACUGACGCUGAGGCGCGAAAGCGUGGGGAGCAAACA
Molecule: ribosomal RNA, 207 nt
Filed under: uncultured bacterium
Lineage: Bacteria
Description: partial 16S ribosomal RNA
Rfam family: Bacterial small subunit ribosomal RNA
Source: RNAcentral